GACGAACGCUGGCGGCGUGCUUAACACAUGCAAGUCGAACGGAAAGGCCUGCUUUCCCUUGUGGUUUGCGGGUACUCGAGUGGCGAACGGAUGAGUAACACGCGAGUGAUCUGCCCCCAACUUGGGUAUAAGCAUGGGAAACUGGGUCUAAUUCUCGAUAGGACUGCAGGGUGGUGCCUGUGGUGGAAAUCGUUUUUCUAGUGGUUGGGGAUGAGCUCGCGGCCUAUCAGCUUGUUGGUGGGGUAAUGGCCUACCACGGCGGCGACGGGUAGCCGGACGGGGAUCGGGGACGGCGACAUUGGGACAGGGUUACGGCCCAGACGCCUGCGAGAAGCAGCGGAUGUGAAGCAAGGAGAGAAAGCGUGAGCCAGAAGCGGCGACGCAGUGAUGAGGAUGACGGCCUUCGGGUUGUAAGCUCCUUGCGACCAAGAGGAGGCCACGUGGUUGGGAGCGUGGUGACGGUAGUGAUAGAGGAAGCACCGGCUAACUACGUG
This 494-nucleotide ribosomal RNA is filed under the name uncultured bacterium. Its description in RNAcentral is "partial 16S ribosomal RNA". It matches the Rfam family "Bacterial small subunit ribosomal RNA", at positions 28 to 507 of the family's 1533-position model. The record is from RNAcentral.